Molecule: ribosomal RNA, 486 nt
Filed under: uncultured Actinomycetes bacterium
Lineage: Bacteria; Bacillati; Actinomycetota; Actinomycetes
Description: bacterial SSU rRNA
Rfam family: Bacterial small subunit ribosomal RNA
Source: RNAcentral
AGAGUUUGAUCAUGGCUCAGGACGAACGCUGGCGGCGUGCUUAACACAUGCAAGUCGAACGAGGUGCUUGCACCUAGUGGCGAACGGGUGAGUAACACGUGGGCAACCUGCCCCUGGCUCUGGGAUAGCCUCCGGAAACGGGGAUUAAUACCGGACAUGACCUGCGGUCGCAUGACCGCGGGUGGAAAGUUUUUCGGCCAGGGAGGGGCUCGCGGCCUAUCAGCUUGUUGGAGGGGUAACGGCCCACCAAGGCGACGACGGGUAGCCGGCCUGAGAGGGCGACCGGCCACACUGGGACUGAGACACGGCCCAGACUCCUGCGGGAGGCAGCAGUGGGGAAUAUUGCACAAUGGGGGGAACCCUGAUGCAGCGACGCCGCGUGCGGGAUGAAGGCCUUCGGGUUGUAAACCGCUUUCAGCAGGGGCGAACACAGACGGUACCUGCAGAAGAAGCGCCGGCUAACUACCGUGGCCAGCAGCCGCGGUA